This 466-nucleotide ribosomal RNA is filed under the name uncultured bacterium. Its description in RNAcentral is "partial 16S ribosomal RNA". It matches the Rfam family "Bacterial small subunit ribosomal RNA", at positions 30 to 507 of the family's 1533-position model. The record is from RNAcentral.
CGAACGCUGGCGGCGUGCUUAACACAUGCAAGUCGAACGGAAAGGCCCUGCUUUUGUGGGGUGUUCGAGUGGCGAACGGGUGAGUAACACGUGAGUAACCUGCCCUUGACUUUGGGAUAACUUCAGGAAACUGGGGCUAAUACCGGAUAGGAGCUCCUGCUGCAUGGUGGGGGUUGGAAAGUUUCGGCGGUUGGGGAUGGACUCGCGGCUUAUCAGCUUGUUGGUGGGGUAGUGGCUUACCAAGGCUUUGACGGGUAGCCGGCCUGAGAGGGUGACCGGCCACAUUGGGACUGAGAUACGGCCCAGACUCCUACGGGAGGCAGCAGUGGGGAAUAUUGCACAAUGGGCGGAAGCCUGAUGCAGCAACGCCGCGUGCGGGAUGACGGCCUUCGGGUUGUAAACCGCUUUCGCCUGUGACGAAGCGUGAGUGACGGUAAUGGGUAAAGAAGCACCGGCUAACUACGUG